ACCAACUGAAGAGGUUUUUUUCGAAAUUGAGAUAGCGAUUGAUUUAGAUAGUAGAUAGCAUCAAAGUUAGUUCCUAAAAAUUUGAGAUUUUAGAAAAGCGUAUUUAUAUUAGAAAAAGUAAUUUAAAAGUGGAAAAAAUAACGAGAUUUGAAAAUCAGCUUCAAUGGCCGAAACCGGAAGUGACGUAUUGUAAUGGACUGAGAAAAUAAAACAUAUAUGACAUGUGGCAUACAGACAAGUUUACUAGAUGGAUCUUUCAUCAUUUUGGAAAUACAAUAUUCCCUGUGAAACAAAUCACAGAAACAUUCUACAAUUUUAUUUUAUAUAAUAAAUACCAAUAAAUGUAAAUACAAAAUCACAUUUUAAUAGAGUUCUUCAUUAUGCACACAACAUUAUUUUAGUAUGUUCCUUUUCACUUGCUAGGUUUAGACAAAGUUUCGAAUCAGGAUUUAAUAUUAUUAAGUCAUAGCCCAAAACUCCAGCAGGAUGUUAGUUAAUGGCAGUAGUCAAUGUUUGAACCUGAGACCACAGAGAAGACAGUUCGGAGUGCAAACCACACAACUUUCUGCGUUUCGAAACCUAUUCAAAUUUUUAUGUUAAUGCAGAUCUGAAUAUCCAUUGCAAUGAUGACUUGAUCUGUAAAGGGGUUACAUUUUUUAAAAAUAAGUUGGAUCUCAUUCUUCGAAUGAUGCUAUUUAUUAGAAAUUGAAACGUGGAAUACAUAUUAGAGGCCAAAAGAAAAUCCACUGAUGAGGGAAGACGUAGACGUCGUAAAGAAAAUUUAAAUUGACCACCAGCUGAAUAUGGUUAUGUCUUCGCUGGACGCGGCAAAAUAUCUAGUUUGCAGCUGCGGCUGCGUAGCCAUGGAAAAUACUGCAUUUCUCAUUAAUCUUUCGACUCGACUGCCAGCCUUAUUUAUUAAACACUUUAAAUUAUGAAUAGCUCUGCAUUUUUUAAUAACAAUAAAAAAAAUAUAUAUAUUCAGUGAUUAACUGGCAAUAAUUUUAAUUGGGUUACUAAAAUUCAAUAAAAUGAGUUGCAUAAUUACAUCAACAGUAGCCUAAAUGCAUUACUUAACAUUAUAUUGAUACUAUAGUUUAUUUUCCACUUCCCUGACUUCCCAGAGAAAAGAAAAAAACGACAACUCCUUCUCCAGUAGGAUAAUCUCUUUCAUUUAUAGUCUAAACACAAUUUAAAACUUUGUUACCUACAGUUACAGAUUAACUUGCUAACUUAACUAUCUAAUAAUCUAAUGAUUCUCUAGCUAUUCCAAUUAACAAAUGAGUCAAGCGUGAGAUAAAUGAAAACUCUUUAAUUUUUAGAUAUAUAUUUAUAGAACUAUGUAAGUAUAUAGGCCCGAAUAUACGAUACGAAUAUAUUUAAAUAAGAGUGUAAUAAAAUCCAUAUUUCGUAUAUUAACAGUAUUAUAGAACUGGUAGAUCUAGGUCUAAUUUUUGCCUUAUAGAUUAGUUUUUAGAAAUUUAGAUCUAGUACUUUUUUUACUAUUAGAUCUAAAUCAGACUACUUUUAAGUCUAAGUUAAGGUUUAAGUUAAAGCUAUUUGCCUAGUGUUGUACGGGGUUGUGACUCUAGAUUCAAACUAAAUAUAAUCGUAUACUACAAUAACUACAUUGAAUGAGCUCAACAUUCACAUUGUAAUAAUUGUUUUUUUCCCAUUAUAUUGGGCCUAUUUAGGGACGACUAUAGGUUAAUAAUCACUAUUAAGUGUAUAGAUAGAGUAUAUAAUUUUAAACUUUGUUUUUCUAGGUCUAGGCCCAGCACCUCGAUCGGAUCAGUCUAAAUAGAUAGGUCUUAUCUCUAAAUAUCCAAUACUACUAUUACUAGAUCUAGACUUCAUCUAAUUGGAUUUAGAUCUAAAUUUAGGUCUACUUCGCACAUCAUUAAUGAUUUGAGAAAAGAACUCUGCUCUUGAUCAAAAGCAGUAGAUCUAGAACUAGAAUAAGCCUGAAGCAGUAACAUAAGUGUUAGACACCUUAUUUAUAUAGGUUAGUUAUUUAGCGACGCACCAUAGAAGACGCAUAUUGAACGGGACUAGUGACGUUUGGGAUAUGUUGGGUUAGAGACCGGAAAAUCAGUUAGCGAUAGAACAUUCCAGGGUAACGACGUGUUUAGUGACAGAGACUUCUACUGUGGCCUUUUAUCAGAAUAAAUCUAUGUAAACUUGUU
This is a long non-coding RNA of Biomphalaria glabrata, 2186 nucleotides long. RefSeq lists it as uncharacterized. The transcript has 2 exons. Lineage: Eukaryota; Metazoa; Mollusca; Gastropoda; Planorbidae. The record is from RefSeq and is a predicted model, not a curated record.